UGCAGAAGAGCCAGACCAACCAUGAUGACGACAGCAGCGACGAUGAGGAGGAGCAGGUUGAGGGCCCUCGCAUGGGUGCCCUUAGGCUGCUAAAUGCCAUCAAGGGUCAAGUGGGGGAGCAGUCCAAUCCAUCUUCUGAACCAACGAGUUAAUCGGUACAUAAUGUAAUCGAUUCAUCGGCUCAGCCUCGCUCCCAAAAGCAAAAGAUUCCACUUGAGCUAUUCUCGUUCUAACGACAGAAGCUGAUUCAAGCAUUCGUUCAGAGUCGACUUCCUUUAUCGACACGACAGCAAGAGCAGAGCAGGGAAGGAGCUGUGAGGUAUUACCUGUUGGUUGAGGAAGAGAAGUAGACAAAUCCGAUGCUAGUCUUUUCGCCUUUGCUUCUGCCACUUGUCUUGGCACAGAUGUUCUCGAAUAAACUGUUUGCGCCUUUUUCGCUGUUAAGGAUAUUUUUUUUUCUUUUAACAGGUGCCUAGCGCUUUCAAAAGAAAGUAAGUAAAGGAGGUAAAGGCAUUCUUUCGCUUUCCCUGGCCCUUAUAUAGUGUUAAACCCUGCCCUACUAGGACAUGAAAUUAACAAUUUCAUUUCCUUGCCUUCCCCAUGGGCAAGAUGUAUCAAUUCCACACUUCCCUUCCCCAGCUUGAAGAGGAUUAUGUCCGAACUGAUUUCCGACUCUAAAGCAUACUACUAUUUCCAAAGGCCGACAAGGAGGAAGCGGGGAUGGCACAAGUGAAUCCGAUGUGGGACUUCUGCCUUUCUUUUCGGAUCAAAGAGAAGAGAAAAUGGCAAGUGCUAUCGAAUUCGAAGCUGUUAGCAUGUUAGCGCACUUUCCUGUGUGACUGGGACUUCAUGCUUAGCAAGUCGGAUGCUUCCUAAUCUUAUAUAGGAUAGGACCAGUUUUCCACUUAAGCCGCCAAUGCUAGUAAGACUUUCAUUAGAAUCCGAUUUUCGGCAUCAAAGAGCACGUGGGACAGGUGAGGGAAGGAUUGCUGCUAGAGUCGAAACUAGGGCUUGUGCAAUUGAAUCAGAAAAGGCUGCACAUGUAAGAUAAGAAUGGAAGGAGACAGCCAAAGCAGGGAUUGAUUGCCCAAUUCCAAAACCACUAGGCAGGGACUUUUCCCUAAGCCAUUUUCAGUAGACAGACAAGGAAAAAGAAAAAAAGCAUUCUUCUCAAGAUUAGAGCAAGCAUUAGAUGAAGCCGAGUUUGUCCAUCUCGCAUAUUCGAGAACAAAUAGCCUUCAGAUUGUGAAAAGGAAUUGAGUCGACUGCCCAGAUGUUUGCAAGAGGCAAGAGAUGGCCCUUGCUCUUCUUUAGGAGUAGCACGUAGCACUAUGACUUUCAUUUGAGGAAGAAUAGGUGGCAAAAAUGCCUUUCUUUCGAGAAAAAGAAUAGUAAGGCAAGUAACUGAUUGCACUAAGACUUAAUGCCCGAGGACAUAGUAAUAGAAUAGGAAAUUGCCCCUUCUCAGACUAGUUCAAAACUAAGAGGACAGCUUUCAAAGCAAGAAGCAAGUGGAAGAAUGGCUUGUUACAGUGAAUCAGAAAAGGAAGAAUGCACAGUUAGAAGGACAACUAAUUGAGUCUUGGGUCUCCCACGUAUGGGUGGCAGGUAUCAGUCACUAGGCACAUAGGUAAAGGUUUCAAACCGUUAGCAAGGCUACGAACCUUCUCGAAGGCUUAUAGAAGAGUGCUUGCUUCUCAGAUCAAUAGUAUAAAGAUACCCACGCACAGAAGGAGCCGCUAGAGAAUAGGGUGUGGGGGAAUGCGCUCUCAUGUUAUAUGCCCUCUUGCUGCGACGAAUGGAAUGCCUUGUUCUCUUAGGCCAAAUAGGCAAGAGAUCUAAUCAACGGAGUAAAGCUAGGAAUUGAUGCCAAGAAUCAGACAUGGGACAGACACAGAUUAGCGGAAUAAAGGCUUCGGCCCUGUUUGCGCACGAAUGGCUUGUUUGCAGGAAUUGGUAGAAGAUAUCCACGUGCAGAGACUGUUAGGGAGGUUUGGAUUGCAGCUAGCUAGGGAUUGGGGUAGGGGAUAAAGGCAUCUAAUGCAAUGAAGAAGACAAUGCGCAAAGGACUGCUUUCGAUUCUUUCUUGUCUAUCGGAUUCUGUUGAGAAGAAGGGACAACCAUCCGACCCGAAGCCUUUCUCCUAACCAAGUAAUAGAGCUCUACUAACGGAAGUAGCGUAGAGAGGAUUUGGCUAACUCAAUUGAUAAGGAAAGGGUAUCGGUAUCGUAAGGGUCGUAGCGGAGAUGCAAGAUC
RNAcentral lists this long non-coding RNA (2256 nucleotides) under Elaeis guineensis (African oil palm). Its description in RNAcentral is "long non-coding RNA (EGUI_LNC080611)". Lineage: Eukaryota; Viridiplantae; Streptophyta; Magnoliopsida; Arecales; Arecaceae. The record is from RNAcentral.